UGAGAUGUUGGGUUAAGUCCCGCAACGAGCGCAACCCACGUAUUUAGUUGCUAACGGUUCGGCCGAGCACUCUAAAUAGACUGCCUUCGUAAGGAGGAGGAAGGUGUGGACGACGUCAAGUCAUCAUGGCCCUUAUGCCCAGGGCGACACACGUGCUACAAUGGCAUAUACAAUGAGACGCAAUACCGCGAGGUGGAGCAAAUCUAUAAAAUAUGUCCCAGUUCGGAUUGUUCUCUGCAACUCGAGAGCAUGAAGCCGGAAUCGCUAGUAAUCGUAGAUCAGCCAUGCUACGGUGAAUACGUUCCCGGGUCUUGUACUCACCGCCCGUCACACCAUGGGAGUUGAUUUCACUCGAAGCCGGAAUACUAAACUAGUUACCGUCCACAGUGGAAUCAGCGACUGGGGUGAAGUCGUAACAAGGUAACCGUAGGAGAACCUGCGGUUGGAUCACCUCCUUUCUAG
This 462-nucleotide ribosomal RNA is filed under the name Campylobacter jejuni. RNAcentral describes it as "bacterial SSU rRNA". It matches the Rfam family "Bacterial small subunit ribosomal RNA", at positions 1068 to 1533 of the family's 1533-position model. The record is from RNAcentral. Lineage: Bacteria; Pseudomonadati; Campylobacterota; Epsilonproteobacteria; Campylobacterales; Campylobacteraceae.